RNAcentral lists this long non-coding RNA (900 nucleotides) under Lathyrus oleraceus (garden pea). RNAcentral's name for it is "Pisum sativum (pea) long non-coding RNA (PSAT_LNC003703)". The record is from RNAcentral. Lineage: Eukaryota; Viridiplantae; Streptophyta; Magnoliopsida; Fabales; Fabaceae.
UAAUUGUUAAAUAAAACUUUAUUUAAAUUAAAUAGAAUUUGUUUUUUUAUUUUUUGAAAGAAAAGGAAAAGAAAUAAAAGAAAUAAUAGAGUUUGAUGAUGAGGACACGUGGGGAAUAAACCCCUCCAAUUCCAACGGUCACAUGGGGUGACCGAGAAAAUGGCCAUUAAUGCAGAAGGAGAAACAAAACGGUAGUCCUCCUUGGGCAGUGGGAUAAGAGUCAUCAUCAAUGACCUUAAAGCCUUGAUGAGAUCCACAUAAAAUCCCAACAGACAGCGAAAACACUCACCUCCACCUUAAACUCACUCUCUCUCUGCUUGAGACAUUCGUCUCCUCCCUCACUCAAAACAAAUAGCAAACUCAACAGGGAAAAACCUAAACCAUUACUCCUAACACAAACCAAACUCAGCACGACAGGCACGCAAAGGCAAACAAACAUCACCAAAAUCAAAGAAAACUAAACAAACAGGGGUCGACCUUGAAUACCGAAGAACAAGAAGGAACAAUCACUUACAGAGAAGUGAAUCAAGCAUGGAAAAACAUUACACAUACAUUCAGAAUUGAAAAAUGAAAACGAAGAAGGGGCGAGAAAGCUACCGGAUCGGAUACUUUGGAGACAAAUGAACAGGUAUAUGAUCUCCUACGCUUCUAAUUUCUUUGAGUCCAACUGUAAAUCUUUCCUUCUUCGUUAUUGAACAGUAGCGGUCGAAUUCCCUUCGUGUUCAGUAGUGGCGGCUGGAAAUCAAUAGGGUUUCGAUUAGAAUUCGUUUAGGGUUUUUUCGUCGUAUUCAAUUCCUCUAGGGUUUAUUUUGAAUUGUAGCCGCUCCUCUCAUCCCCUUUUUUCUGAACAGUAUCCCCUCUUUUAUACCCAGCUUACUAGGGUUUCAAAUUGGCUUCCGG